CCUACGGGAGGCUGCAGUGAGGAAUAUUGGUCAAUGGGCGGAAGCCUGAACCAGCCAAGUCGCGUGAGGGAUUAAGGCCCUGCGGGUCGUAAACCUCUUUUGCCGGGGAGCAGUGGUCCGGACGCGUCCGGACCGGGAGAGUACCCGGAGAAAAAGCCUCGGCUAACUCCGUGCCAGCAGCCGCGGUAAUACGGAGGAUGCGAGCGUUAUCCGGAUUUAUUGGGUUUAAAGGGUGCGUAGGCGGGCAUUUAAGUCAGCGGUCAAAUUGCGGGGCUCAACCCCGUACUGCCGUUGAAACUGCAGCCCUUGAGUGCGCGAGAAGUAUGCGGAAUGCGUGGUGUAGCGGUGAAAUGCAUAGAUAUCACGCAGAACUCCGAGUGCGAAGGCAGCAUACCGGCGCGCAACUGACGCUCAUGCACGAAAGCGUGGGUAUCGAACAGGAUUAGAUACCCUAGUAGUC
Molecule: ribosomal RNA, 460 nt
Filed under: uncultured bacterium
Lineage: Bacteria
Description: partial 16S ribosomal RNA
Rfam family: Bacterial small subunit ribosomal RNA
Source: RNAcentral